UGCGUAGGUGGUUGUUUAAGUCUGUUGUGAAAGCCCUGGGCUCAACCUGGGAAUUGCAGUGGAUACUGGGCGACUAGAGUGUGGUAGAGGGUAGUGGAAUUCCCGGUGUAGCAGUGAAAUGCGUAGAGAUCGGGAGGAACAUCCAUGGCGAAGGCAGCUACCUGGACCAACACUGACACUGAGGCACGAAAGCGUGGGGAGCAAACAGGAUUAGAUACCCUGGUAGUCCACGCCCUAAACGAUGCGAACUGGAUGUUGGGUGCAAUUUGGCACGCAGUAUCGAAGCUAACGCGUUAAGUUCGCCGCCUGGGGAGUACGGUCGCAAGACUGAA
RNAcentral lists this ribosomal RNA (332 nucleotides) under uncultured Stenotrophomonas sp. RNAcentral's name for it is "bacterial SSU rRNA". It matches the Rfam family "Bacterial small subunit ribosomal RNA", at positions 568 to 898 of the family's 1533-position model. Lineage: Bacteria; Pseudomonadati; Pseudomonadota; Gammaproteobacteria; Lysobacterales; Lysobacteraceae. The record is from RNAcentral.